Gallus gallus (chicken) is the source of this 8809-nucleotide long non-coding RNA. Lineage: Eukaryota; Metazoa; Chordata; Aves; Galliformes; Phasianidae. The record is from Ensembl.
CGCAAUAAAUGUGUUUUCAUGGCAUUAGACAUAACAUAAAGAACUGUUGAUCUUUUUCCCAGAUUUUUCUAAUUUAUGUAAAGAUAUCACAUACUGAGUCAAUUCUUCUAAUCUCUCAAGGUUAGCUAUCUUAAAUGCUGUGGAGAAAGUUUAUGGUUCAACAAUUGACAAGCAUUUAUGAUGCUGUAAACCCUUUAUUGUAUGUUGGAUCAGAUACUGAGACCAAAGACAAUCAGUGGCUUUCAUGGUGUGCAUCAAGAGAAUCAAGAUGAAAAAAAAAAGGAAAAGUUGCACUACACUUCUAAAGAAUCAAGAUUCUUCCCAAGAAAACAAAGAAAAGACAUUGUCAUGGGGAGCAGACAAUAGUUUCAUUCUCUGACACCAUGGCAAUCAGUGCUGCAGACAGAUCACUUCUUGGAUCAGGUAAGUAUUGCAGAAGGAAAAUCUGUUGCACCAAAUGAAAAUAAUUUCAAGGUGGAGAAUAAGAAAGUACUUAAGAAAAAACUCUCGAUAAUGGGAAGAAUGGAUGUAUUAUGCCACAAUAAUGAACCCAGAAGUUAAACCCUUGAUAAGAUAAAGGACUUUUCUACAGUAUCCUUAUGGUGGAUUCUGGCAGCAAACAUGCAUGGCAAUUUGGCUACUCUUUUCCAGUGUGGAACUAAUAAGCCAAGACAGAUUUGGGCAAUAUUUCAUGCUGCCUAAUUGCUUUAUAUCCUGUCCCUUGCUGUCACUAGAGAAGACUGUCACAUGAAGAAUGAAAUUUGAUUGAUUUAACCUCCCCAUAAGAAUGUGUUUUUCUCAUUUUCUGAAGAACAAAUAAGGUAUCUCAGCAUGCAGAGCCAAAUCAACAGGUUAAUUCUGCUUUUGCUGUAAGUGUUGGGAAGGAAAUUACAAAGGCUAGGUGAUUAAAUUUUUCAGAUAUAAGUAAAAGUCUCCAUUCUGUCACAAUCUAGCUGCAUGACUCGCAGAACCAGAAGCAAAAGAGGUCUCAUGACUCUUUGUCUUGCAGUGAUGUCAACAUAGACAAAAACAGAAUGAAAUUCCUGAAGUGCAGUUUAGACAGACUGUGGGCUCACACACCCAGUAGGCCAGUCCAAAAGACCCUGCCCAGCUGGCAAGUACAUGAGAUUUUUCUGGCCUUGUGUGCCUGAAGUUGCACAGCUGCUUCACGUCCAGGAGCAAGUUAGCCGGACUGACCAAGGAAACUUUCUGAGAAUGCCAUUUUCCAGUAACUACUGACUUUUAUGGAAAUCAGAUCUAUAAGGUCAUGCAUUCUGCUUCUGUAUGUUUCUCCUGUGCAACCUACUCUUGGGAACCUGAUUUAGCAGGGAUGUUGGACUAGAUGACCUCCAGAGGCCCCUUCAACUCCUGCACCUCUGUCACUGUGAUUCCAUGACGUUUGCUUACUGCCGAAGCAACACAGUGGUUGAAGAGAGCUAGAUUUUCAAAAACAAGAUCUACAAAAGCAUCAUGAUGAACAAGGAACCAUUUAAUCUGGUCUUGCUUUUUCUUUCCCAUCAGAAACACUUCAGACACAAGAAAAACUUCAGAAAUCUAAAAAUUACAAGAGUGGAAAUAUUUGGGAAUUGUGAAAAAGAGGACAUGACGUAGAUAUUUGGAAUAUACUCUACAUAGCCAACACUUCCACCCAGCUUUUCAACAACAACAACAACAACAACAAAAGGCUCCCUGCUCUCUCUGGUAUAAAUCAGCCCCAGUCACUCAACAGUCUGAAAGACACUGAGGCAAGGAUGGGUGAAAGACAAAGUUAUUUCAUAUUUCUAAUUUGAAGAUGAGAAUCGCAGUGAAAACUUUGGACAUACUUCUGAUUCAAUAAGCCUAUAAAAGCAGAAUGUAGAAAAGAGUAACACAGAGAAGAUUCAUGAAUGGCUCCAAGGAAAGAGACACUGGUUAUCAGCAUCUUGUGCAAGGGAUUGGCAUCAGUCCCACGUUCCAGUGAGUCCUCUGCCACACGGCUGUUCGAUGAUCUUGCAAGAAACUCAGGCUGUAUUUCUAAAACAAUGGCUUUGAAUCUGCAGUCCAAAAAUCCCUGAGAGUUCACGGCCCUUUUCUGGAAAUGUGAAGUUAACAAGAUAAUUCUCAAGAAGCAUAAAGUUGAUAUGCUGCCAUCUACAGCUUCACUGGAAAAAGAUUUAAGCUCUGCUCGCUGAGAAGGAUAAAGACUGCUGCUCUUCAUUAUCUGAUCUGACCAUCUUCAGUAGUCAUAUGGAUGCCGGAGAAAGUUUAAAGUAAAUAUAAGACUCAUCUGGCUGUGACUCAGUCUAGAAAAUAAAAACGUAUUAUUGCUUAAGAAAAUAGCCAGAAAAGAUAUGCAAAACUGUAGGGUGACUUUAGAGAGAAGUGUGGGAGCAAGUCUUUAGAGUCAUAUUGUACUCACAGCUGCUAUUUGGACAGAAAAGUGCAGUUUAGCCAUCUCUGUUUUUCACUCUAUUUCAUGUAAUCCAGAAUUCCACUUUUCAGGAGCAGAUCUUACCAAUUUGUUAAAGAUCUCCUUGAGGUCUUUCACGAGGAAAUCUUAUAGCUUCUGCCAUUAAUGCCAUGAGAUCUCUGACCUAGACUACUAGGACAGCAAUUUUAUGGGGCUAAACCAUAGGCUUACCCCAGAGAUAAGGCCAGUGCAGAAUUCAGAAAAUUAUUUUUUACGUGGCACCUCUUUCAAAUCAUGCCUGGUAUAAGGGCCCUCACACUUGCACUAGCUCUUUAAGGGUUACUAUUUCAGUCACAAGCUUUGCCCUGCAGUUCCACAAAGAUGCUGAAAAAAUGGUUCUCCCCAUUUCCAUAGCUGUACAGGUAUUAUCCAAGAAUGUCUGGUAUGGUGGUGGAUUCAAGAACAAAGGAAAGAAUGGGGCAGGGUUUUGGAUGAAUUUACCUGAUAUUUAGAGACUGCUUUUUUUCUUUCAAACUGAAACAAUUAUAAUUUUAUUUUAUUUAGGACAUGUUCAGAUAAUCACAAAUUUAAGGUAGUUAUUAAUAGUUAUAAGAUUAAAUUCUGUGUUAUAAAGUUAUCUAUAAUUAUUUUUGUCUAUUUUUGGAAACCAGUGACCUGCAAAGUUUGGGCAAGAGCUGUGGAUCCUGACUACUUUAUCAGGAAAACAACAGCAUUUCAGUGUCAAGAAACUGAGAAAACACAAAUUUUGCUUUGCUUAGAACAAGGUCUAUUAAAUUAAUGCCUGCAUUUGUUUUUAACCUAGUAGACUUUCUCUUCCCUCCACUCUCUCUUCUCCAUAUAUAGAAGUAUUCAACAGUUAUUAUAUAUUUGAAAUUCUUAGCUACCAGAAAGUAGCAUUAAUAGCUGGAAGUGCCUUUACAAAGGAAAUGUUCAUUAUUUUAUAGAUUGGAUAGACUUGGACUGUAAUUACAUACUCAAGAUCAUGAAGGAGACUCUUGAAAUUGUUUAGAAAUAAAGCUCUGAGCUACUUCCAAGCUUACGGCUGUUGUUGGUUUUGCCCUUUCCUAGAUGAUGUCAGACAAAUGAGGGAGUAAUAAGGAAUAAGGCAUCUAACUUUUAGACAAAUUGAACUCUAAAUUACCUAUAGCACUGACCAAGGAGACUUCAUCCUUAAGAACAAAAAACGUGAGAAAUCUGAGCUGGCUGUAGGAAGUAGUAUAGGACUUUGUGCUUUCUACCCAAAGAAAACCAAAGGUGGGACAGUCAAGCAAAUUACCACCUCCAUGAGGAACUGUGCUCUACCUGGUAACCUUUGUGGAAAGAGAUGAGUUACCAGAGCCCAACUUACAUGCAGUCACUCACAAAGCUACAGGCAGUCACCAGUGGAUGCUUGGACAUCUGCCCAACAACCCAUUUUUAAGCCAAGAAGUUAGACAUACGCCCCAGUCAACCCCCUUCACAGGAGCUGGGUAAAAAAGAAACACCACAUAUUACUCUUAAGGAUACCUGAGAUCCAAAGCUAUGGGACAGAACUAAGAAAAGUUUUUUUCCAUUCCUUUACAUGGAAUCCAGGACUCUGUGCACAAUUUCUUAAAGAUCUGCUGGAUCUGAGGGAUGGAGAUAGUAUGGUGAAAUAAAAUAAAUGCAUAAGCAAACUGGUAAGAGAUGGGCCAACUUUUCUAGCCAUGAAUGUUUCAUACCAAACAAACUAAUAAUAUUUUAAGAAUAGCCAAGUCAAACGUUACUUCAUAUUUAACUAAAAUGUUUUUAAAAGCAGAACAAACGACAACAAAUACUGAGCAAAAUCUUUCAAGCAAAUUGAAAUCAUUUUGUCCAUCACUGUUUUUAUUAUUAUUAUUAUUAUUAUUAUUAUUAUUCUGUCAGUGGAUCAGGAUAUUCAUUUUUGUGAUAGGUUCCAUUUAGUCUUUAUAAGAAGAAUUCAUGGUCUGUGGGAUGCUUUUCUCCUCCUGUGGGCUUGUGUAAUGGGUAUUGUGAGCCAUCACAUGGUUGUUCGGGAGAAGGUGCAACAGAAAAGGAUUUCUCUUAUUGCCAGAUAAAUUCUUUGAAGUAGGAUGGCUGCAAGCCUUUCCUCAUGCCACACUUUUCUGUGAGGACUAACAACAGCUGACCAACUUCAUCCCUGCCUCUUUUGUUUGCUGCCUUUGGCUUAUAGUCCACUGCCGGUGAAGAGUCAGAUGCCUCAGACUUAGAUGUUUUUAUGUCUAUCAGCCUCAUAGCUGGUUCCCAUAGCUUCUCACAUUGUUUUGAACCUGAAAAGGGGGCCAAGCUGAACACAUCCAAAUCCUUUCAUUUGAUCCUAGUUCACAUCAGCCAAAUGAAUGUGGAAUAUAAAGCACUGGAAGCAGAAGGUAAGGAUUAGGUUGAGUGCUGCCAGGCCUGUUCUGAAGAAGAGAUCUCAUUUAGGAUCCAUAUCUGUCAGUGAUGCUCACAGUUCUGAUACUGUACAUGGAAAGGUACAGAUGUUUGGAAAGUUCCCAAAACUCAGCAAAUUUAUUCUCCAAAGACAGGCAGCAAGACUUACUUACUGGCCUUCUAGUUCCCUUUGGCUGACUUCACCAAAAGAAAGAGUUUGUUCCCUUGGAGUACGCUUGUGUGGAGACUUGCAUAGUGAUGUGCAUGUGUUUCUUAAAGAAGAAGAAGAAAAAAAAAAAGCAGUAAAAGAAAAUCUCUGGUCAACGUAGUUUAUCCUGUAGAUUUCUAUUAUCCAAGCUAAAUGUAAAAGUGUUUACAGAAAAGAUAGUCUCUCCAAGACCACUGGGAUAGUAAGGCUGUGUUUUUUCUUCCUAAGAAGCUGUGUUUUUUCUUCCUAAGAAGUUGUGUUUUUUCUUCCUAAGAAGUUGUGUUUUGGAGAUGAGUUCUUCUGUACAUUCCCAGGUGUCUAACAUGCACAAAGCUCAAUUCUGUCACUGAAGUAAUUAACAGAGUCUCUCUUCUAAGCAGCUUGUCAGAACUUAAUAUCUCUGAUACCUUCACUUCUCUAAUUGUGGGCUCAAAUAUUUUUAGAGGAAGAUGGGCCAUGAAAAAGAGUGAGAGAUGAGUUGGCAUGAGUCAACUGAGUGUGUGUUUCUUUCACAGUCCCAGUGCAUGUCUCGUAUUCCCCCAAUAAUUUCACCCUUGUUACUGUUCCUUCACUUUUCUCUUCAUAUCAUGCAUGUAAUGCCCACCUUGAGCUUGCACAUAUGCCCACACACUAAACCACCACUAGGAAAUACUCUGCUACAGUACAUAUAUAAAAAUUACAUCACUUUAUUAAUCUUACAAUUAAAUUUGCUAGUCAGCUCUCACUGAGUUUUGUGUUUUGCACACAAUUUUCAUGGUAAGACUACUCAAUGGGACUGAUUAGUAUAAAAAGUCAUCUUCCAUCCACACUCUGGAGGUGGGAGCCAGUAGGGAGUGUGGAGGAGAGAGGACACACAAAACGGCAGAGAUUUCAGGAGCAGUGCUGACUCACUUCUAAAUUGCUUACUUGCUUUUAGAUCAAUUUUAUAUUUAUAGUGGGAGCCAUAAAUCUUAAGAAGACAAGAUUCCUAUUCAUGCUACUUUUCAUAACUUAUUUUGAACUCCCCACCUGAAGAACAGGCUGAAAGCCCCAUGACUGUAGUAUAUUAUCAUUCAUGAUGCCUGCCCAAGAAACGAGGCAAAUAGAUCUUACCAAAAAGAUAAAACACAUAAAUUUUAAGCCUCCUUACACGAUAUGUAAGUUCAAGCAAAUAUCAUCCAGUGGUGAAGUGACCUUCAAUAAUUUAGAAAAUUAUUUUUUUCAACUAAGAUUUUUGAAGUUUGUGAAAGCAUUUUAUUUCUUAUUUGCCUGUAUAUUAUACUAUUGAAGCGUCAAAAAUUUCCAAGGGUGAGAAAUUUCAGUUUCCAAUCCUUCCUUGAAGUUACACAGAUUUCCACAGAUUUCUCAUAAAUCUGAGAAGAUUUUACUUAAUUUAAUGGUUAUAUGAGAGAUUAGAAAAAUCCCCAUGGGAAAAAAAAAAAAAAAAAAAAAAGAAGACACAUGGAAAAUAGUUUUGUAAAUCAAAGAUUGUUGUGAUGAACUUUGUUUUAUUUUUUUCUGUUUUAUACAAAUGUCUUUAAUUAUUUAAUUUUAAUAAAAUUAAUUUUAAAUAAAAUUAAAUUAAAUUUUAAAAAAAUUAAUUUUAAUUAGUAACGGCAAAAUAAACAAAUAAUAUUAUGCUUUAAAUCUACUGAAUCUUUACAAACAAACUGAGCUUUAAAAUCACACAGCAUUAGAAGUAUGAUCUGAUGGGUUUUUUUUUGUUUUGUUAGGUUUUUUUUUUUUUGUAAUUAUUUUGCUAUGUUCUUAUUAUUCACUGAGCAAUUCCUACUGCAUACAGUAAGACUGGGAUUGAGAUCUAAGAUAGUUAUUUGAAAACAAAAUAAAGUUAUUUAUACACACAUACAUACACAUACAUAUAUGGUAUAAUUAUUUUUAUGUAUGCGAGUAUAUAGUCUAGCAAACUUUAGCAUAUAUCACAAUUUUCUUCUUUACUGGUGCACUACAUCCUGUUGAAAUAGUUAAAAAAAAAACUGUAAUUCUGAUCAGAGAUCAACGUGUGUUGAGCUCAUUGCAGCUAUACAUAACAUCCUCACAAGGUCUUGCAGAUGUUACUUAGGUUUGCCAAAGAGUUUCAACACUCUGGGUGAGGUCUUGAACUCAGGUUUCACCGAUCAAAUGUAAUCUGCAAGUCCUCCUUGAGGCAGAAAGGAAACUACACAAGUUUCAGAUGCACUGGUCAGCUGAUCUUUCCCAUAAACUUUUAUUUUGUUUUGGAAAAACCCAUGGCAAAAAGUUACUCUCCCAACACCAAAGAGGGCUUCAUGGGAAGUUUAUCAAAAGCAUCCAUGUGGGUAAACAGAGCUAAGUAUCAAUGUGCAGCACUUGCUUUGUUGUACUCAGGAUAAAUACAUUAGAAGGACUUAGAUUAACAGGAAGAAAUGUUACUCACUUUAUCUUAUUCAUGCUAUAAAAAUCUACUCCUUGAUGAGAACCUGAUUCAGUGCCUUGCAAACAUAAAUAUUUAAAGAAAAAUCACUGGGCUUCUGAUUAAUUAUUACUACUGCUUAUUUACCUUCAAUCCAUUGUAUCAUGCAUUGCAUUCUGAUAUAAUAAAGGAAAACUUGAAGGAUAUAAAUAGUAAAUAAGGAUAUAAUCAGGUUAAAGAGCCAUGAGGAAAAGACCAUUCCAUAAGUGUUUCCCAAUGCUGCUUUUUAGCCCACAGAAAAGAUAAGAUAAAGACAGUAUUAGUCAGAUGCAUGUUCACUCCCUCAAGUUUGUCAGCCACCCACGCAGUUCCCAUUUCAGCAAAAGUAAUAUAACAUGGUACCAGUAAUGUUUUAUCUCAUCAUAUUUUUGAAGAGCAAAUUCUCCACAGGGAAAAAUACUCUUGUGACACUGACCUUCCCAGUGAAUGGGGUUUUCCUGACCAUGAAGUUUCACUCAUCUAUUUUGACACUUGUUUUGGUACAGAGUGAGCCCUCUGGACGGAUUCUUGUGAGUUCUCUGAAAAGUCCUCAGUAAUUAUCAUCUUUUAUAUGUUCAGUUCCACCAAGCUGUGACAAAAUGAGAAUUCAGAAACAGUCAGACUGAAACAAUUUCAUACUUGGAGGAAAAAAAAAAAAAAAAAGAAGGAAGAAAGAAAAGAAAAGACAAGUUGCUCAAGAUCACUUGGAUUAGUGAAUAUAUGUCAUACAAAUAUACGCAAAAGGAAACACAGAUACAGGUACUUAGCACUGGUGGGCAUUUAGCUUUAAAAAGAGAGUUACUUUUGUCUCUUACUUCCAAAUUUAUGGUAACUUUGACAUAAAGUCAUUAUCUCCACUGCACUCAAUGGCAAGUGAAUUGGUUCCAAAGAUAUCAAUCUAACUAUCUGACACUGAUGCACAAAAUACUUCGAGUUACGGAUUGUUUUCAAAGAGGAAAAUGGCAUUUACCAUUCAAAAUGAUGCUUGAGAGGAAGCUAAUUUUGGCAAAAUAAUUCAAUCGAGAAGAUGCAGUUAGAUCCUCCUAUUUACCAAUUAUUUCAAGAAUAGCAACAGAGUUUCUGUACCUCUUCUUCCCUAGUAUUUAUGUGUGGUUUUCAUUUCCCUAUUUUUAGUUUCAUCUAGGCAGCUGAAAUGCUAAACCAUCAGACUAAAUAAUGAAAAGGAUGCAUGAGGCCAAAACAGUCACCAGGGGAGACAGUUUACUUUUACAUAGAUAAGCAGAUCUUUCUUAAGAAGAAGAUUUAUCUUUCUUAAUCUUCUUUCCAUUAAUGACCUCGGAGAUCUUAAAAGAUCUAUAACAGCUGCACUUAAAAAUGCUUGUGAUCAGUCUAAGUUAAUGCUUCAUUACUUAUGAUAAUUUUCAAACUUCUGGCAUAUCAGAGAGCUGAA